This 219-nucleotide non-coding RNA is filed under the name Caldisalinibacter kiritimatiensis. Its description in RNAcentral is "T-box sequence". It matches the Rfam family "T-box leader". Rfam says of the family: Uncharged tRNA acts as the effector for transcription antitermination of genes in the T-box leader family. T-boxes are found upstream of many aminoacyl-tRNA synthetase genes and some amino acid biosynthetic genes usually in Gram-positive bacteria. The anticodon of a specific tRNA base pairs to a specifier sequence within the T-box motif, and the NCCA acceptor tail of the tRNA base pairs to a conserved bulge in the T-box antiterminator hairpin. Lineage: Bacteria; Bacillati; Bacillota; Tissierellia; Tissierellales; Thermohalobacteraceae. The record is from RNAcentral.
AGCAAUCCUAUGAUAGGGAGAGUAGAUAUAGUGAUUGUUCCAGCGAGCUAGAGUUUGGUGUGAGUCUAGCACAUAGCUAUAUUGAAGCGCACCCUUGAGGAGGUUUUCUGAACUAAUAGUAGGAAAAUUCGGUUUCCACCGUUAAAGGGAUAUGAGAGGGCAUUUUUAGAUUACUAUGCCAAUAAGAGUGGUAACGCGGGAAAAACUCUCGUCUCUUGA